Molecule: ribosomal RNA, 254 nt
Filed under: uncultured bacterium
Lineage: Bacteria
Description: partial 16S ribosomal RNA
Rfam family: Bacterial small subunit ribosomal RNA
Source: RNAcentral
UACGUAGGCAGCAAGCGUUGUUCGGAGUUACUGGGCGUAAAGGGUGUGUAGGCGGUUAUUUAAGUUUGGUGUGAAAUCUCCCGGCUCAACCGGGAGGGUGCGCCGAAUACUGAAUGACUUGGAGUGCGGGAGAGGAAAGUGGAAUUCCUGGUGUAGCGGUGAAAUGCGCAGAUAUCAGGAGGAACACCGGUGGCGAAGGCGGGUCUCUGGGCAGUAACUGACGCUGAGGCACGAAAGCUAGGGGAGCAAACAGG